Molecule: long non-coding RNA, 837 nt
Organism: Cucumis melo (muskmelon)
Lineage: Eukaryota; Viridiplantae; Streptophyta; Magnoliopsida; Cucurbitales; Cucurbitaceae
Exons: 4
Source: RefSeq, a predicted model, not a curated record
UCCUAGCCGCCGCACGCCGCCACAACCGUCGCCAGCCGCUCGCUCCGCAGCCACCGCGUGCUGAGUUCCAGCCACCCGCCCGAGUUCUCCCGCCAGCUGUCGCCACAAAAUCAGCCGCAUCGCCAGCCGCUUGCUCAACCACACCGUCGCACGUCGAGCGUCGGUCGUCGAAGCCUGCGAAGCCCAGCCGUGCCAUGCCUCCGCAACCCGAGUCCCACACCCGUACUUGACCCGAACAGUCGUGCCUCGCCUUUGACCCAGUUUUUGACCCGCGCCCCUCCUCCAUGAGUCGAUCGCUCCGCGCCAAUGCUUGUCGAGCCGUUCUGCACGCGUGAGCUGCCUGCCGAGCCAUUCUGCGCGCGCGAGCCGAGCCGAUUUCUGCUUUCUGGUUGAGCCGAUUCGCCUGUCUUUGAGCCGUCAGCCUGCUCCGGUCCUUUACACCUAGUUUUGAGCAUCUAGGACCAUUUGAUAUUGGAGCGUUGGACUUCUCCAGUUAGAAGCUCAAGUCGCAACUUCGACCUAAGUAGGACGUCGCUGCUGGGAAAGCGUGACCUUGCGGUUAGGACUCGUUGAGCAAAUCUCCAGGCAGGGGCAGAGGUAAGGGAAAGGGCAAGCUGGCGAGCGACCAGAAGUGACAGUGGCGAGCCAUAUGGAUCUCUUGCUUCCGCAUUAUGUCCGAGUUUAGACCUUGAGUGUUUGCCUUUUUAUUACUCUUUAUUUGUUAUUUCAUUUCUUUAAAAUUAGAUAAGGCCCGAGUUAGGAUUUUAAUAUUUGUUUACAUAUCGCAUAUUACUUUUGAUUAGGUUUUAAAUAAUAAAUUUUUGAGGUUUCGUUUCG